Molecule: ribosomal RNA, 253 nt
Filed under: uncultured bacterium
Lineage: Bacteria
Description: partial 16S ribosomal RNA
Rfam family: Bacterial small subunit ribosomal RNA
Source: RNAcentral
UACGUAGGGGGCAAGCGUUGUCCGGAAUCAUUGGGCGUAAAGCGCGUGUAGGCGGCCUUGUAAGUCCGUUCUGAAAGCCCGGGGCUCAACCCCGGGAGGCGGAUGGAUACUGCAAGGCUCGAGUCCGGAAGAGGCAAGUGGAAUUCCCGGUGUAGCGGUGAAAUGCGCAGAUAUCGGGAGGAACACCAACGGCGAAGGCAGCUUGCUGGGACGGUACUGACGCUGAGACGCGAAAGCGUGGGGAGCAAACAGG